Molecule: transfer RNA, 106 nt
Filed under: Pseudoneurospora amorphoporcata
Lineage: Eukaryota; Fungi; Ascomycota; Sordariomycetes; Sordariales; Sordariaceae
Also listed under: 1 other name
Description: tRNA-Gly
Rfam family: tRNA
About the family: Transfer RNA (tRNA) molecules are approximately 80 nucleotides in length. Their secondary structure includes four short double-helical elements and three loops (D, anti-codon, and T loops). Further hydrogen bonds mediate the characteristic L-shaped molecular structure. tRNAs have two regions of fundamental functional importance: the anti-codon, which is responsible for specific mRNA codon recognition, and the 3' end, to which the tRNAs corresponding amino acid is attached (by aminoacyl-tRNA synthetases). tRNAs cope with the degeneracy of the genetic code in two manners: having more than one tRNA (with a specific anti-codon) for a particular amino acid; and 'wobble' base-pairing, i.e. permitting non-standard base-pairing at the 3rd anti-codon position.
Source: RNAcentral
GUUAGAGUGGAGUAGUAGUUUAACUCGUCGCCCUCCCAAACCGAACCUCAAGUGGUGAAGCAAGGAGAUUCAGGCGGAGACCCGGGUGCGAAUCCCGGCUCUAGCA